UUGACCAGGAUGGUCUCGAUCUCUUGAGCUUGUGAUCCGCCCGCCUCGGCCUCCCAAAGUGCUGGGAUUACAGGCGUGAGCCACCGCGCCCAGCCGAUAGGCCAUCUUUUUAAAAAAAAGUUGACCAUAAGCAGCUUCUAUACAUAUCCUAAAGACAGUAAUUUUUUUUCUUUUUUGAGAUGGUGUCUUGCUCUGUCAGGCUGGAGUAUAGUGGUUCGUUACUUCCAUGUUUUAGACCUCAAAGUGAUCCAUAUAUACAUUUUUGGAUAUAAAAAGUAAAUCUAUCUCUAGGAUGUGGAAAUUUUUGUCAAGAUCAUUUUUUUCUUGAUUUCUCAGAAAAUUUUAUGUAACUUUUUAAUCUAAAAUAUAAUCUAUUAAGGUACAUCUGUAGAUGGCACUAGAGUUUUACUUUUUAUAACCUCUCAAGUUUGAAUAAGACAUUGCCAAAGUAAACUGGAAAUGAGGCUUAUUGAAAUAGUUGCUUAAUAAAGUUUAUGAUCCUCAAAUGGCUCUUUCCUGGUUGUCAAAUAAAAAUUGAAAAUUCCUUAAUAUGUGUUAUAUUUUGACCUUUAGGUUUGGAUUUGGGAUAAGAACAUGAUUUGUACUGUGGGUUUUUAAGUCAUGUCUCACUGAAACUCCCAAACUUGCUUUGAAGAAAUCUUAAUAUACCUUUGAUUGUGGAAGUAAAGGGAAAUAAUUAGCUUUCCUUCAGUAUUUCAGAAGUAUUCACGUUAGACGGUUGCUUUCAAGAAAUAGCAGUUAACCUAUUAGGAAAGCUGCAAUGCUCAUUACAAAUAAUCAUCUUUAAUAUUUUGACUUUGCAACCUGAAGUGGAAGAACUUUCAAACACCUGCAUUUAAAACUUUAUUCCCCUUUUGCUAGAAUAUCUGUAUCAUUAUGGGCCUAUCAAAAAUCUCAAACCUGGAGGAAUUAUUUCUGCCUUGCAAAUGUAUGUCACAUAUGAAAGUUUUCUUUCUUGUCAACCCCAAAUAUUCUAUAUUAUUUUUUCAAACCAAAUGAAUCCCUAGGAAGAUGAGCACUUAACCUGAUAAAGCUAGCACAGGCAUUACCGGCAAGGAUAAAGAAUGGUAAAUUACAGAUGUCAUGAAGUCAAGUCUCCCAGCAUAGCAGUGGUUUUGUACACAAUAGGCACCUGAGGAAGUCGAAAAGGAAGUGCUGCUACUGAGGAAUAAGGUGUCUGGCAAGAGUUUUUAAAAACACUGUAAGGAUUAUAACUCACCGUUGCAGUUUUUACAGUUGUAACAUUAAAAUAGGACCUCUGAUAUAUUUUAAGUUGGCUUUAUCAUCCAGUGUAUUACCUUCAGUAUCCUCUCUCGGACUACAGCUUUUUGAAAGGAGUUUGGCACUAUUGGUAGUGUCACUAUUAUUAAAAUCAGUAGCACAGUCUUUAGAUUAUUAAAGUACAUUCCUAAAUUUUUCUAAGUCCAAGUGUAUUGUAACUUGCUAGCCUGGAGAAG
Molecule: long non-coding RNA, 1478 nt
Organism: Sapajus apella (tufted capuchin)
Lineage: Eukaryota; Metazoa; Chordata; Mammalia; Primates; Cebidae
Exons: 2
Source: RefSeq, a predicted model, not a curated record